Herpailurus yagouaroundi (jaguarundi) is the source of this 268-nucleotide long non-coding RNA. RefSeq lists it as uncharacterized. The transcript is spliced from 2 exons. The record is from RefSeq and is a predicted model, not a curated record. Lineage: Eukaryota; Metazoa; Chordata; Mammalia; Carnivora; Felidae.
AUAUCAUGAUCCACAGUGUCAUAAUGACCUUGCUGCCUGCAAGAGACACAAAUGUUAACAAUUCAGUGACAAAUUCGGUGGCACAAUUUCAAAGAAGUCAUUUACAUUUAAAGGUAGUAAUAAACGAAUUUUUCAAGGGUUUUUAAAAAGUCAUCAAGAGGUUCUUUCUUCUUUUUUUUUUUUUUAAACUUAUGCUAUUGGGUUUAAUAAAGAUUCCAGCUGCAAUUUCAAAGCAUACCUUAAAAAACAUAAAACACCUUUCACGUGG